GCCCACAUGAUACGACCCUAUAAACAAUAAAUAAUAGAAGCAACUAAACAUAUAAUACAUAAAAGUACAGAAAUGGAAAACCCAAUAAAUAAAAGUAAUUAUUAAAAAAUAUACCUUGUGCAUUAUGGUUUUACAAGAAAAUAAUUUAAAACCUAAAUCCCGAAUUCUAAAUGAGAUGUUAAACUGCUGUUAUGAACCCAUUAAUAACUGUGGAAAAAGUUUUAAAAGACAGUUUAACAGAGGCUACAUACCAUUCGCAUAAGAAUAUAGCUGGUUUUCAACAAACAUUAUACAUUAAAACAUAUAAUUAUAUUAUAGUGUAAAAUUACUGAGGAUAAGCCCAAUAAUUUAAUGCAAUAUGUUAAAAUAUCUAUUAACACCUAUAGGCCUAAAAUCAGCCAACUAAAAUACUUUACCGUAAUUAAAACAGAUAAAUAUACAUAAAUUAGUUAUGCUAAAAAAAGUUGAAGUAGUGGGUAAAUUAUAUGCCCCACUUACAUUAUGUAAAAAUAAGUAUUUAUAUAUUAUAAACAAUAUUAUACAAGAAAUAACACCAAAUAAAUAAUAAAAAUUAAUUAAGGAACUCGGCAAAUACUUAUUUCGACUGUUUAACAAAAACAUUGUCUUAUGUAGUAACAUAUAAGAUAAUACCUGCCCAGUGACAACUUGUUCAACGGCCGCGGUAUCCUAACCGUGCAAAGGUAGCAUAAUCACUUGCCUAUUAAUUGUAGGCUAGAAUGAAGGGGUUAACGAAAUAAAAGCUGUCUCAAUUAAUUACCUAAAAAUUAUUCUCUAUCUGAAGAAAGGUAGAUAAACUCGAAGGACAAGAAGACCCUAUAGAGCUUAAUUUUAAUUAUAGAACUACACUAUAAAAAUAUUCGGUUGGGGCGACCCAGGGCUAAUUAAUCACCCAUUAAAUAUAAGAUAUAUAAAUCAACUAAAUGACCCUUCAAAGAUCAUAAAAACAAGCUACCUUAGGGAUAACAGGCUAAUCCCACUCAAGAGUCCUUAUCAACAGUGGGGUUUGGCACCUCGAUGUUGGCUUAGGGUAUCUAUUUAGCGCAAAAGUUAAAUAAAGAUGGUUUGUUCAACCAAUAAUUCCCUACAUGAGCUGAGUUCAGACCGGCGUGAGCCAGGUUAGCUUCUAUCCUCGACAUAAGUAUUUUACUCCUAGUACGAAAGGACCUGAGUAAAAUAAUAAUUAUUUUAAAGAAUUCCUAUAACUAAAUAUUAAUACCAAAAACUAAAAACUAUA
This 1255-nucleotide ribosomal RNA is filed under the name Duplodicodrilus schmardae. RNAcentral's name for it is "16S ribosomal RNA". The stretch from base 559 to 1255 matches the Rfam family "Archaeal large subunit ribosomal RNA", at positions 1423 to 2885 of the family's 2987-position model. Lineage: Eukaryota; Metazoa; Annelida; Clitellata; Crassiclitellata; Megascolecidae. The record is from RNAcentral.